UACGUAGGGGGCUAGCGUUGUCCGGAAUCAUUGGGCGUAAAGCGCGUGUAGGCGGCCCGGUAAGUCCGCUGUGAAAGUCGGGGGCUCAACCCUCGAAAGCCGGUGGAUACUGUCGGGCUAGAGUACGGAAGAGGCGAGUGGAAUUCCUGGUGUAGCGGUGAAAUGCGCAGAUAUCAGGAGGAACACCCAUUGCGAAGGCAGCUCGCUGGACGUUACUGACGCUGAGACGCGAAAGCGUGGGGAGCAAACAGG
RNAcentral lists this ribosomal RNA (252 nucleotides) under uncultured bacterium. RNAcentral describes it as "partial 16S ribosomal RNA". It matches the Rfam family "Bacterial small subunit ribosomal RNA", at positions 524 to 776 of the family's 1533-position model. The record is from RNAcentral.